AACCGGAUCGUUGCGCCGCGGCAGGUGGU
This 29-nucleotide small RNA is filed under the name Bombyx mori (domestic silkworm). RNAcentral describes it as "ovarian small RNA-10333". The record is from RNAcentral. Lineage: Eukaryota; Metazoa; Arthropoda; Insecta; Lepidoptera; Bombycidae.